AUUGAACGCUGGCGGCAUGCCUUACACAUGCCAGUCGAACGGCAGCGCGGGAGCAAUCCUGGCGGCGAGUGGCGAACGGGUGAGUAAUACAUCGGAACGUGCCCAAUCGUGGGGGAUAACGCAGCGAAAGCUGUGCUAAUACCGCAUACGAUCUACGGAUGAAAGCAGGGGAUCGCAAGACCUUGCGCGAAUGGAGCGGCCGAUGGCAGAUUAGGUAGUUGGUGAGGUAAAGGCUCACCAAGCCUUCGAUCUGUAGCUGGUCUGAGAGGACGACCUGCCACACUGGGACUGAGACACGGCCCAGACUCCUACGGGAGGCAGCAGUGGGGAAUUUUGGACAAUGGGCGAAAGCCUGAUCCAGCCAUGCCGCGUGCAGGAUGAAGGCCUUCGGGUUGUAAACUGCUUUUGUACGGAACGAAACGGUCUUUUCUAAUAAAGAAGGCUAAUGACGGUACCGUAAGAAUAAGCACCGGCUAACUACGUG
RNAcentral lists this ribosomal RNA (484 nucleotides) under uncultured bacterium. RNAcentral describes it as "partial 16S ribosomal RNA". It matches the Rfam family "Bacterial small subunit ribosomal RNA", at positions 30 to 507 of the family's 1533-position model. The record is from RNAcentral.